UCUUCUAGGGUUUUUGUUUUCAUAUCUUUCCUCCCUCCAUCUUGAGUUUCCUGAGAGUGUCUCAGAUCUAAAACUCCUCCUUCAACUUUCUAUCUUUGGAUGAGUCCAAAUCAAGAAGAAGGAGGCACCUGAUCAACCAUCAAAGAAGGAUCAGCGCAGUACUAGCAUACUGUGCUGAUUUCCUGAAGCAGGACUUCUGAUCGAGAUUCGUGGGCUCGUGUGGAUGAAUCCUAGAGGCCGGACACGUGUGCGGCUUGCAACAUCAUCCUUAAGCCCGGAUCAGCGAGGUUAGAGCAUCUAACUUGCAAGGUAAUAGAUCUGAUCUAUAGUUUAAUACGUACAUUAGAUGUGGUAUAAAAACAUGUUGAUAUGAUCAACAUGUAGUUCAUGCUAUAUUUAUAUAUUUUAAUUUUUGAUUUAAUACUAUGUAAUAAUCAUGUAAUAGGAUCUUAGAUCUAGAGAUUUUCUGAUUUUAAAAAAUAAAUUUUGAUUUAUUUUAGUCUUCCGCUGUAUGAUCUUGAAAAAGUUUCAAGAUCUAACCCUGAAACCCU
This 551-nucleotide long non-coding RNA is filed under the name Elaeis guineensis (African oil palm). RNAcentral describes it as "long non-coding RNA (EGUI_LNC014762)". Lineage: Eukaryota; Viridiplantae; Streptophyta; Magnoliopsida; Arecales; Arecaceae. The record is from RNAcentral.